AUGCUAUGUGGUUCGUCAGGACAGUGUAGUUAACAAAUUGUCAGCCAACAUAACGUGUAAGGUAACUUACUUGAAAAGUCAUUACUUUAUUGCAUUGAGUAGCAAGCUACCGCUGUGAUGGAUGAUGGAUUUCGGGCAAGAAGAUUGAGGGUUAGAAACCUGCUCCCUGCUUGUUUCAUUUGAAGUUGUGCACAAUUAUCAGUUUAUUAUUUGGUUUAUAUCGCCCAUUCAUUGUCAGUUAGAGACACAGUAGUGCAUUGGGACCCAAAAGCAUAAUCAGUGCUCUAACUCCCCCUUGGUCGUUAGGGAAAAUCUGUGAUAGGACGGGGGGGGUUUCACAUCAAGCUAGGAUAUUAGACUAUUCUUUAGUUAUGGUUGAAUAGUAUUUUGUUCAGCUAUUAGCCCCCCUCCCCAACUUGCAAAGAAUGGAUGUGUUUUUGUUGAGAGAAAAACUUUUUAAUUUUCAAUCAGAAUUUUUUUUUCUGAAAGCAACUUUAUUUUCAAUCAAAAAAAAGUUUUAAAUUUUUUUGCAAUAAAAUAUUGUGUAAUAGAGCGCAAAACUUCAUGCAUUUUAUUCCCCAAAAAUAUUUUGAGAACAAGAAUUGUAUUUGAAAACUAAACUCUCUCGUCCACAUUGAUACGAAUCAUAAAUUCAUAAGGUACUGAGAUGUUGUGGUAAACUGUGGGGUGUUGGGUUGAGCGUGCAGAGAUUGACACAGAGACAGGGAGGUUUUAGUCCGCAAAAACAACUUUACUAAGACAGAAAAUAAACAUAACAAAGAAAAUCACUGAGGUUUGGCUCGGUCCUUCUUCUCAACUGUGGCUUGGUGUCGGUCUCUCCCAGUUCUCUCUCACGGUGUGCCACAGUGCUCCUUUUAUUUGGCCUCCACGGCUGGUUGGCACUUUCCCCUAAUUACCUCCACCUAGAGCUGUCCAUGUCGGGGUGCCCAGCUCCCGUAUUCCCAGCAGAGGGAGCCAACGUCGCCUCACGUACCUCCCCUCUAUUACCAUUCCCCGGGGUAGACCUCCUGGGAUACCUCAAUGUAUAAUGUCUCCAUCAAAUCUAAGAAGUUAUUUAAACUUUUUUAUUCUUACUUAUUCAUAGACUUUUUUUAGAUGAUGUAUGAAAUUGGAGUUGUUCUUCAUCAACUGGUAAUACAUAAAUAAUGAAGCAGGUUAAUAGGUUAAACAUUUAACUUUUAAUUCCAAAACUUUUUUCAAGAUACAACAUUGUCAUCUUUGGCGGUAUAGAUGGAUUUUCAAGGAAGGUAUGUAUAUUAUUUUGUAUACAUAUUGCAUAUUUCCCAUCACCUAAUGAACAACCACAAUACCAGUCUGGUGUUAAGCUUUCUGUGCUGUAUUGACGUAUCCUGAAAAUGACAUCUGCUGCUUUAGAUUGAACGGUCAUGUCUCAGUUAUUGUUUUCAUAUCUACAAAAAAUAAGCAAUUUUCUUUAAUUUCAGAGUGCGAGCUGAUCAAGGGGUCGAAAAUGUAGAUAUUGCCAGAUGCUCACUGUCCGAGGAACAGGCCGUGGAAGAUUUAUUGCUGGCAAAAGUGUCCAUAACCAGAGGUUAUAUCAGCUGUGUUGGUGAACCCUUCCCGCAUCUGAACUGGGUGACACAUGGGGCACAACAUGAUUAUAGGUAUGUUUUGACGUGAGAGAGGAUGCUAGUCCCGUCAUCGCCACUUCACCCGCUCUUAAGAUAACCUUCGGGCCAACUGGGGGCCCAAGGCUGGUUAGGAGACAUUGCUAGAGACACUGUAAUUGUGUUGAACUGAGAGAAUAUUAGGGUAAAACUGUAAUUCAUUAAUCAUAUGCUGUCUGCCUCUGUUCUUAACUCUUUCCCUUUCUGUCUUCUACACCUCUCUCCCCACCUCAUCUUUCUUCCUCGUUUUAUAAUGCACACCAUAUGUGCAUUGAAGUACAGAUUGAACUCAUAUUUAUAACACCUGGAUAAUUAACUUAUUUCAAUAAAGCGUUUCACAUUCUCCACUGCUUGAAAUUAAGUAUCACAUUGAAAUACUAUCCUGUGUCCUCAGAUUAAUGCAGAUGAAUGGAGUUAGAUAUGCAUAGGUUUACUUACAGCCUUUACUUCAAUCAUGUUUCUAGUCUAUAAUGGAAUUUGAUACACCUGGUAUUGGAUAUCACUGAAAAAUAAUGUCUCACAGAGAUUCAUACCUGAUGUGCACCUUUAUUUGCCAAGGAAGAGUACAUAAUCAGUGAAUAUAUUCAAUGUACAGGCUACAAUGUGGGGAUCUCAUGCGUGGUAAUAACUACAGUGCAUGUAUAUAGGAUUUACAUCCUUGGCACAAUAAAGUUAUUAUAUUCUACUCUAUCCAUAGGCUUCAUUAAUACCAUUCAGACUUGAAGUUGAUACAACAACUAUGAUAGCUGAGGUUCAUAGAUUGGUAUGAAUUUUAGUUCAGAACCUAAUGUUUUAGGGUCCAUACACAGAUCGGCUACAUACUGUAGCUAGCUACACAUCCAUAGGCAUACAGUUAUUUUUAUCCUCCACCACACAAUAAGCAAG
This 2531-nucleotide long non-coding RNA is filed under the name Salmo salar (Atlantic salmon). RNAcentral's name for it is "lncRNA (ENSSSAG00000084572.1)". The record is from RNAcentral. Lineage: Eukaryota; Metazoa; Chordata; Actinopteri; Salmoniformes; Salmonidae.